This 497-nucleotide ribosomal RNA is filed under the name uncultured bacterium. RNAcentral describes it as "partial 16S ribosomal RNA". It matches the Rfam family "Bacterial small subunit ribosomal RNA", at positions 28 to 507 of the family's 1533-position model. The record is from RNAcentral.
GAUGAACGCUGGCGGCGUGCCUAAUACAUGCAAGUCGAGCGAACAGACGAGGAGCUUGCUCCUCUGACGUUAGCGGCGGACGGGUGAGUAACACGUGGAUAACCUACCUAUAAGACUGGGAUAACUUCGGGAAACCGGAGCUAAUACCGGAUAAUAUAUUGAACCGCAUGGUUCAAUAGUGAAAGACGGUUUUGCUGUCACUUAUAGAUGGAUCCGCGCCGCAUUAGCUAGUUGGUAAGGUAACGGCUUACCAAGGCAACGAUGCGUAGCCGACCUGAGAGGGUGAUAGGCCACACUGGAACUGAGACACCGUCCAGGCUCCUACGGGAGGCAGCAGUAGGGAAUCUUCCGCAAUGGGCGACAGCCUGACGGAGCAACCCCGCGUGAGUGAUGAAGGUCUUCGGUUCGUAAAACUCUGUUAUUAGGGAAGAACAAAUGUGUAAGUAACUAUGCACGUCUUGACGGUACCUAAUCAGAAAGCCACGGCUAACUACGUG